AGUCGAGGGGAUUGGUUUUCGGAUCAAGAGACCGGCGCACGGGUGCGUAACGCGUAUGCAAUCUACCUUUUACAGAGGGAUAGCCCAGAGAAAUUUGGAUUAAUACCUCAUAGCAUGCAGAGUUGGCAUCAACACUGCAUUAAAGUCACAACGGUAAAAGAUGAGCAUGCGUCCCAUUAGCUAGUUGGUAAGGUAACGGCUUACCAAGGCUACGAUGGGUAGGGGUCCUGAGAGGGAGAUCCCCCACACUGGUACUGAGACACGGACCAGACUCCUGCGGGAGGCAGCAGUGAGGAAUAUUGGUCAAUGGGCGCAAGCCUGAACCAGCCAUGCCGCGUGCAGGAUGACGGUCCUAUGGAUUGUAAACUGCUUUUGUACAGGAAGAAACAACAUUACGUGUAAUGUCUUGACGGUACUGUAAGAAUAAGGAUCGGCUAACUCCGUGCCAGCAGCCGCGGUAAUACGGAGGAUCCAAGCGUUAUCCGGAAUCAUUGGGUUUAAAGGGUCCGUAGGCGGUUUAGUAAGUCAGUGGUGAAAGCCCAUCGCUCAACGGUGGAACGGCCAUUGAUACUGCUAGACUUGAAUUAUUAGGAAGUAACUAGAAUAUGUAGUGUAGCGGUGAAAUGCUUAGAGAUUACAUGGAAUACCAAUUGCGAAGGCAGGUUACUACUAAUGGAUUGACGCUGAUGGACGAAAGCGUGGGUAGCGAACAGGAUUAGAUACCCUGGUAGUCCACGCCGUAAACGAUGGAUACUAGCUGUUGGGAGCGAUCUCAGUGGCUAAGCGAAAGUGAUAAGUAUCCCACCUGGGGA
Molecule: ribosomal RNA, 812 nt
Filed under: uncultured bacterium
Lineage: Bacteria
Description: bacterial SSU rRNA
Rfam family: Bacterial small subunit ribosomal RNA
Source: RNAcentral